This 198-nucleotide ribosomal RNA is filed under the name Schmidingerella taraikaensis. Its description in RNAcentral is "partial Bacterial large subunit ribosomal RNA". It matches the Rfam family "Bacterial large subunit ribosomal RNA", at positions 1 to 230 of the family's 2925-position model. Lineage: Eukaryota; Ciliophora; Spirotrichea; Tintinnida; Rhabdonellidae. The record is from RNAcentral.
GAUAAGAGCAUCUGAUGGAUGCCUUGGCGACAAGAGGCGAUGAAGGACGUGGCAUGCUGCGAUAAGCUGUGGGGAGGUGCAAGCAACCUUUGAUCCGCAGAUUUCCGAAUGGGGAAACCCGGCACUGUAGUGUCACCCGAGAGGGAGCGAACCCGGAGAACUGAAACAUCUCAGUACCCGGAGGAAAGGACAUCAAUA